UAGAGUUUGAUCAUGGCUCAGGAUGAACGCUAGCGGCAGGCUUAACACAUGCAAGUCGAAGGGCAUCGCGGGGAGUGCUUGCACUCCCUGGCGGCGACUGGCGCACGGGUGAGUAACACGUAUGCAACCUGCCCUCCACAGGGGGACAACCUUCCGAAAGGGAGGCUAAUCCCGCGUAAAUCUCGAUGGGGCAUCCCAUUGAGAGGAAAGCUUCGGCGGUGGAGGAUGGGCAUGCGGCGCAUUAGCUAGUCGGCGGGGUAACGGCCCACCGAGGCGACGAUGCGUAGGGGUUCUGAGAGGAAGGUCCCCCACACUGGUACUGAGACACGGACCAGACUCCUACGGGAGGCAGCAGUGAGGAAUAUUGGUCAAUGGGCGGGAGCCUGAACCAGCCAAGCCGCGUGAGGGAAUAAGGCCCUAUGGGUCGUAAACCUCUUUUGUCGGGGAACAAAAGCGGGGACGCGUCCCCGUCUGCGUGUACCCGAAGAAAAAGCAUCGGCUAACUCCGUGCCAGCAGCCGCGGUAAUACGGAGGAUGCGAGCGUUAUCCGGAUUUAUUGGGUUUAAAGGGUGCGUAGGCGGGAUGCCAAGUCAGCGGUAAAAAAGCGGUGCUCAACGCCGUCGAGCCGUUGAAACUGGCGUUCUUGAGUGGGCGAGAAGUAUGCGGAAUGCGUGGUGUAGCGGUGAAAUGCAUAGAUAUCACGCAGAACUCCGAUUGCGAAGGCAGCAUACCGGCGCCCUACUGACGCUGAGGCACGAAAGCGUGGGUAUCGAACAGGAUUAGAUACCCUGGUAGUCCACGCAGUAAACGAUGAAUGCUAACCGUCCGGUGCGAGUGAGCGCUGGGCGGUACAGCGAAAGCGUUAAGCAUUCCACCUGGGGAGUACGCCGGCAACGGUGAAACUCAAAGGAAUUGACGGGGGCCCGCACAAGCGGAGGAACAUGUGGUUUAAUUCGAUGAUACGCGAGGAACCUUACCCGGGCUCAAACGCAGGCUGACGGGUCCCGAAAGGGGCCUUUCUUCGGACAUUCUGCGAGGUGCUGCAUGGUUGUCGUCAGCUCGUGCCGUGAGGUGUCGGCUUAAGUGCCAUAACGAGCGCAACCCCUGUCCACAGUUGCCAGCAGGUAAAGCUGGGGACUCUGUGGAGACUGCCGGCGCAAGCUGCGAGGAAGGCGGGGAUGACGUCAAAUCAGCACGGCCCUUACGUCCGGGGCGACACACGUGUUACAAUGGCAGGUACAGCGGGGUGCCACGGGGCGACCCGGCGCUGAACCCGAAAACCUGUCUCAGUUCGGAUUGGAGUCUGCAACCCGACUCCAUGAAGCUGGAUUCGCUAGUAAUCGCGCAUCAGCCACGGCGCGGUGAAUACGUUCCCGGGCCUUGUACACACCGCCCGUCAAGCCAUGGAAGCCGGGGGUACCUGAAGUGCGUGACCGCGAGGAGCGCCCUAGGGUAAAACCGGUGACUGGGGCUAAGUCGUAACAAGGUAGCCGUA
RNAcentral lists this ribosomal RNA (1495 nucleotides) under uncultured bacterium. RNAcentral describes it as "16S ribosomal RNA". It matches the Rfam family "Bacterial small subunit ribosomal RNA". The record is from RNAcentral.